UUGCUCUUGCUGAAUGAACCGCAUGGCUAACAUUGUUGCUUGCUUAAAUAAUUAAUUAUCACAUGCUUGCUUUGAUCUUUAGAAAAUAAAUCCACCGACCCACUUUAAUUGAUUUUCACCAAUCACCAAUAAGAAAAAUCAAUUCACGACCACACUUCCUUUUUCUUUUAAUUCUUAUGAUGCUUCAUUCUUUCAACUGGGCACAAAAUCGAAAUCAGCCCUUCCUGCUACAUUCUUUCUUUCUCUCGACGACAAUCAACUGGCUUGGUCAUCUUGAUGCAAACCUUCAGCUUUUAAGCAAGUCUACCUCAAUUCCAUAAACUUCAAAAGGGACUCAGGAGAGACGUUAAGCUGUUCCUUUCCUUUCCAUAGCAAGAACCCGUAUUGAAUAACCUACACCAUAACCAAAACAAAUUAAAUAAAAAGUAAUCUUGAUUUUAUUAGUGUCCAUUGAAUAAAACACUAACCGAGUUACUUUUGAGUUCUUUCCUACACCAUAACCAAAACAAAUUAAAUAAAAAGUAAUCUUGAUUUUAUUAGUGUCUACAGAAUGAACACUAACCGAGUUACUUUUGAGUUCUUUCGGUGGUUCAAAUUGAGAUUCAGAUAUUAUUUAAUCUGAGGACGGAAAUGAGAUCGGCCCAAGAGAAACUUUUGGGUGCGGCAUGGAAUCUUUUUUCAUCAUUUUUUU
This 691-nucleotide long non-coding RNA is filed under the name Helianthus annuus (common sunflower). Its description in RNAcentral is "hypothetical non coding rna". The record is from RNAcentral. Lineage: Eukaryota; Viridiplantae; Streptophyta; Magnoliopsida; Asterales; Asteraceae.